UACGUAGGGGGCAAGCGUUGUCCGGAUUUAUUGGGCGUAAAGAGCGUGUAGGCGGCCAUGUAGGUCCGUUGUGAAAACUCGAGGCUCAACCUCGAGACGCCGAUGGAAACCAUGUGGCUAGAGUCCGGAAGAGGAGAGUGGAAUUCCUGGUGUAGCGGUGAAAUGCGUAGAUAUCUGGAGGAACACCGGUGGCGAAGGCGGCGUUCUGGACUGCAACUGACACUGAGGAACGAAAGCCAGGGGAGCAAACGGG
This 253-nucleotide ribosomal RNA is filed under the name uncultured bacterium. Its description in RNAcentral is "partial 16S ribosomal RNA". It matches the Rfam family "Bacterial small subunit ribosomal RNA", at positions 524 to 776 of the family's 1533-position model. The record is from RNAcentral.